RNAcentral lists this microRNA precursor (160 nucleotides) under Pelobates cultripes (western spadefoot toad). The record is from RNAcentral. Lineage: Eukaryota; Metazoa; Chordata; Amphibia; Anura; Pelobatidae.
GCAGACACAUUCCAGCCAAUCAGCAGCAGACCCUCCCUCCCAGACCCUCCCACCUCCUGGACAGCAUCCAUUUUGAAGUUGCAUUCUUAAAUGGAUGCUGUCCAGGAGGUGGGAGGGUCUGGGAGGGAGGGUCUGCUGCUGAUUGGCUGGAAUGUGUCUG